This 451-nucleotide ribosomal RNA is filed under the name uncultured bacterium. RNAcentral describes it as "partial 16S ribosomal RNA". It matches the Rfam family "Bacterial small subunit ribosomal RNA", at positions 28 to 507 of the family's 1533-position model. The record is from RNAcentral.
AGCGAACGCUGGCGGCAUGCCUAACACAUGCAAGUCGCACGGGGGGGCUUCGGCCUCCCAGUGGCGGACGGGUGAGGAACGCGUAGGGACCUGUCGAGGGGUGGGGGAUAACCGCGGGAAACUGCGGCUAAUACCGCAUGACGCCGCGGCGUGACAGCCGGGGCCAAAGGCGAAAGCCGCCCGCCGAGGGGCCUGCAUCCGAUUAGCUGGUUGGCGGGGUAGCGGCCCACCAAGGCGUCGAUCGGUAGCUGGUCUGAGAGGGUGAUCAGCCACACCGGGACUGAGACACGGCCCGGACUCCUACGGGAGGCAGCAGUGGGGAAUAUUGGACAAUGGGCGCAAGCCUGAUCCAGCAAUGCCGCGUGGGUGAAGAAGGUCUUCGGAUUGUAAAGCCCUUUCGGCGGGGACGAUGGUGACGGUACCCGCAGAAGAAGCCCCGGCUAACUUCGUG